GACGAACGCUGGCGGCGUGCUUAGCACAUGCAAGUCGUACGGUAAGGCCCUUUCGGGGGUACACGAGUGGCGAACGGGUGCGUAACACGUGAGUAACCUGCCCACAACUUUGGGAUAACGCUAGGAAACUGGUGCUAAUACUGGAUAUGUGCUCCUGCUGCAUGGUGGGGGUUGGAAAGCUCCGGCGGUUGUGGAUGGACUCGCGGCCUAUCAGCUUGUUGGUGGGGUAGUGGCCUACCAAGGCGGCGACGGGUAGCCGGCCUGAGAGGGUGACCGGCCACAUUGGGACUGAGAUACGGCCCAGACUCCUACGGGAGGCAGCAGUGGGGAAUAUUGCACAAUGGGCGCAAGCCUGAUGCAGCAACGCCGCGUGCGGGAUGACGGCCUUCGGGUUGUAAACCGCGUUCAGCAGGGACGAAGCUUUUUGUGACGGUACCUGCAGAAGAAGCACCGGCUAACUACGUG
RNAcentral lists this ribosomal RNA (465 nucleotides) under uncultured bacterium. RNAcentral describes it as "partial 16S ribosomal RNA". It matches the Rfam family "Bacterial small subunit ribosomal RNA", at positions 28 to 507 of the family's 1533-position model. The record is from RNAcentral.